RNA transcript from Lathyrus oleraceus (garden pea), 2943 nucleotides. It is a transcript of the gene named protein ACTIVITY OF BC1 COMPLEX KINASE 8, chloroplastic, with no coding region annotated. The record is from RefSeq and is a predicted model, not a curated record. NCBI's taxonomy places the organism in Eukaryota, Viridiplantae, Streptophyta, Magnoliopsida, Fabales, Fabaceae. The transcript is spliced from 22 exons.
CAUCUAACUUCGUUUACCUCUCUGUUUUUGUCACAUUGAGUCUUCCCUCUUCAUACCAUGAAAAUCAGGAUUCUACACUGAUCAUCCUUAAUCUCUCUCUAGAAACUUCCAAUUCAUGGCUACAUCUUCUCUUCUACACUUACCCGAACUCCAUUUUCUUUCUCCACAAAUCCCUCACCGUAACCGUUUCUCUCUUUCUACAUACUCCAUUUCCCGCCUUUCUACCUCCAACGUUGCUCUUCGCACCACGCGAAUCCGCGCAUCGAAAGAAGAAUCCGCGUUAGCCGAGCGAGUUAACGACGUGAAGUGGAGCGGAAACGGAGCUGCCUCCCGUGCCGGCGACAAUAAAGCAUCAGGAGGAUACGUUAACGGCGCCGUCAAGAAAAGCCCGGGGGAUUACGGAUAUAGAAACGGUGUAGCUGCUACAGAGGUGGUGGACGUUGAAGUCUCUAAGGUGAAUGAGGAUGGGAGGAAGAGAAGGUUGGAGGAGAUUGGAAAAGAAGAUGCGUGGUUUAAACAAACUGAGAAAGUAAAAGUUGAGGUAGCAGUUGCUCCUGGAGGUCGUUGGAGCAGAUUCAAGACUUACUCUACAAUCCAGAGAACCUUAGAGAUUUGGGGAUUUGUUGUAACGUUCAUCUUUAAGGCAUGGCUGGACAAUCAGAAGUUUUCUUACAAAGGAGGAAUGACCGAGGGAAAAAUGAAGUUAAGGCGGAAGACCCUUGCCAAGUGGCUUAAGGAAAGCAUUUUGAGAUUAGGCCCUACAUUCAUUAAAAUUGGUCAGCAGUUCUCCACUAGGGUGGAUAUUCUUCCUCAAGAGUAUGUUGACCAGUUGUCCGAACUUCAGGAUCAAGUGCCUCCAUUUCCCUCUGAGACUGCUAUAGCUAUUGUUGAAGAGGAGCUCGGAGCUUCUGUAGGUGAUAUCUUUGAUCAGUUUGACUAUGAACCAAUAGCUGCUGCAAGUCUUGGUCAGGUUCAUCGGGCAAGAUUGAAAGGACAAGAGGUUGUUGUUAAAGUGCAAAGGCCUGGUCUCAAGGAUCUUUUUGAUAUUGAUCUAAAAAACCUGAGGGUUAUUGCCGAAUAUCUUCAAAAAAUUGAUCCAAAGUCGGAUGGUGCAAAGAGGGAUUGGGUUGCUAUUUAUGAUGAAUGUGCCUCUGUCUUAUAUCAGGAGAUUGAUUACACCAAGGAGGCUGCUAAUGCUGAAUUGUUUGCAAGUAACUUUAAGAACAUGAGUUAUGUGAAAGUUCCUACAAUCUACUGGGAUUAUACCACACCACAGAUUCUGACAAUGGAAUAUGUUCCAGGAAUUAAAAUAAACAAAAUACAAGCUUUAGAUCAACUUGGUGUUGAUCGCACAAGGCUAGGGAGAUAUGCAGUUGAGUCGUUCCUGGAGCAAAUUUUAUCGCAUGGUUUCUUCCAUGCUGACCCUCAUCCUGGAAAUAUUGCAGUUGAUGAUGUUAAUGGUGGAAGGUUGAUCUACUAUGAUUUUGGAAUGAUGGGAAGUAUUAGUCCAAACAUCCGAGAAGGCUUGCUUGAAACAUUUUAUGGAGUCUAUGAGAAGGAUCCAGAUAAGGUUCUUCAAUCAAUGGUUCAAAUGGGUAUUCUUGUCCCUACUGGAGAUAUGACUGCUGUUAGGCGAACAGCACAGUUUUUUCUAAACAGCUUUGAGGAGCGCCUGGCUGCACAAAGGAGAGAGAAAGAGGAAGCAACUGGCGAACUUGGAUUCAAAAAACCAUUAAGCAAGGAAGAAAAAAUAAUGAAGAAGAAACAACGUCUAGCUGCUAUUGGUGAGGAUUUAUUAUCCAUUUCAGCCGAUCAACCCUUCCGAUUUCCUGCUACAUUUACAUUUGUUGUUAGAGCCUUCUCAGUGUUGGAUGGCAUUGGAAAGGGCCUUGACCCACGUUUUGACAUUACUGAGAUUGCGAAACCUUAUGCUUUGGAGUUAUUAAGGUUUCGUGAGGCAGGGGUUGAAGUUGUCUUAAAGGACUUCAGUAAUAGAUGGGAUAGACAAUCUCAAGCAUUUUACAACUUAUUUAGGCAGGCUGACAGGGUUGACAAGCUUGCUACAGUUAUCCAAAGACUGGAGCAAGGAGAUCUAAAGCUCCGAGUUCGAACUUUAGAGUCUGAAAGGGCAUUCCAGCGUGUUGCCACAGUCCAGAAGACUAUAGGGAAUGCAGUAGGUGCUGGAAGCUUAAUAAAUCUUGCAACAAUUUUGUACCUUAAUUCGAUUCGUAUGCCUGCAAUUGUAGCAUAUGUCUUCUGUGCAUUCUUUGGUUUCCAAGUGCUCUUGGGCAUUGUAAAGGUCAAGAAGCUAGAUGAAAUGGAACGAUUGAUAACAGGAACAGCAUAAACAACUAUAAGGACAAAUUAUUUUUACCAAUGGGUUACUCAUUGUGGUUUGGAGGGUGUACUGCAGCUUGUCAAUGUAUCUUUAGUAUAUCAGGAGGCUUUUUGUAAUUUGGCUUUUUAUCUUUUGUAUAUAAGCCUUAUUUCAGAAUUUGGACGAUAUGUAGCACAUGUUAAAGGCCAUGAAAGGGAUGACUUUGGAAGAAACCAACCUUUCAGGUUUCACCAGCAUAUGUUAAAAUCUUUCGACUAACAAACAUGCUGGAGGCAUUUUAUGUUCAUCACCUGUUCCUCAGUAAAUGUAUAUCGAUCUCUGCAUUAGCUAGCUGCAUUUUUGUCAUUAGCCACCCCUAAAAAACAACACAUAAAAUAAUUGUCACAAAAAGGAAUUUCUUUAGGUAUGAUGUGAGUUUUGUAAAUAUUCCAUUAUUUACAUAUCAUACUUGAAUUUAACUUAACUUUGUAAAUUUUAAUUAUUUUUUGGAAUUACUCUUGUAAUACCAUGGGUUGAUGCAGUUUCCUACAACUAUCUGAAGGGGAAGCAUAACCUUAACCUGACAUUAACAUGUGCAAUUAAUAUGCAUGUUGGGUUGAAUUUAA